RNAcentral lists this ribosomal RNA (478 nucleotides) under uncultured organism. Its description in RNAcentral is "partial 16S ribosomal RNA". It matches the Rfam family "Bacterial small subunit ribosomal RNA", at positions 330 to 799 of the family's 1533-position model. The record is from RNAcentral.
CGUACACUCCUGCGGGAGGCAGCAGUGGGGAAUUUUGGACAAUGGGCGCAAGCCUGAUCCAGCCAUGCCGCGUGCGGGAAGAAGGCCUUCGGGUUGUAAACCGCUUUUGUCAGGGAAGAAAAGGUUCUGGCUAAUACCUGGGACUCAUGACGGUACCUGAAGAAUAAGCACCGGCUAACUACGUGCCAGCAGCCGCGGUAAUACGUAGGGUGCAAGCGUUAAUCGGAAUUACUGGGCGUAAAGCGUGCGCAGGCGGUUAUGCAAGACAGAGGUGAAAUCCCCGGGCUCAACCUGGGAACUGCCUUUGUGACUGCAUGGCUAGAGUACGGUAGAGGGGGAUGGAAUUCCGCGUGUAGCAGUGAAAUGCGUAGAUAUGCGGAGGAACACCGAUGGCGAAGGCAAUCCCCUGGACCUGUACUGACGCUCAUGCACGAAAGCGUGGGGAGCAAACAGGAUUAGAAACCCGGGUAGUCCCAUG